This is a long non-coding RNA of Cherax quadricarinatus, 1005 nucleotides long. RefSeq lists it as uncharacterized. The record is from RefSeq and is a predicted model, not a curated record. NCBI's taxonomy places the organism in Eukaryota, Metazoa, Arthropoda, Malacostraca, Decapoda, Parastacidae.
GAGUGUGAGGGUAGGUACAGGGAAGUGUACCACCAGUAGCUGGUUCAGUGUGACUCUGCCAUCAGUGGUGACAACACUACGCUGCUGCUGCUGACCACUGCUGCCACCACCAUUACCAUCACAAUCAUCAAACCAGCAGAUAUGCCCACUCCCAAGGAGUUCUUCACUAUGGCGGCGCUGUGCCUGGCCUCUGCCUUCGCUUUUUUCUGUUGAUCCUAUCUUGCCUGUUUUAGCGUAUUCAACAGUAACGUGUGGCGUCCUUCCCUGUGACCAUCCUCUCCUGGUGUGUGGUGACCUGUUGCUACCAGAGGGCCAGCACACACUCGCCAUGCUUUAAAUACCAACAAUGUCCUCAAGAUACCACGUGGAGGAAAUAAGGCAGGAAGCAGCAAUGCAGUGCCGAUGACACAAGUGGAAGAUGCCAAGCGGUGGUGCAGUAUUUGAUCUUUCUACUGCAGAAUUGUGAUAGAAACUACAAUAAGUACCUUUAACCACAUAUAUAUAGAUAUAUAUACACACGUAUACAAUACUGUAUUGACAUCAUGGAUAACGAUAUAUAUUAUACCUAUAUUGUGCAGGUUUUAACUGCUAUACUAUAUAUGUUUUUAAAAAACAGAUUCAAGAAUAGGGCUACAUGACCCUUCAGGGUUUAGCACUUCCCAUAAUUAUAAAAACACACUAAAGUUAAAAUCCAACUGAAGUUUGACACACAUACCUAGAAAAAGCUAAUUCAUUAUGUCACAAGGUGUUCCACGGUGUACAGUGUUACUAUAUAUUGUUGCAGAAUACAGUAACUUGGUGGGUAUGGAGUCCACUCAUAAUCCAGGUGUAUUAACUACUGCCAGUCUAUGUCCAGAGCUUUAAUGUAUUCCCCUUUAUUUUGUGUAUCGAAUGUGCGUACUGUGUAUGAUAAUGGUGGUUUUUGUCUCGUAGUUAUUGUCCUCGACCUCAUUUUUUUUGUUCAAUUUACCUUGUAUGUUCAUAAUAAAUGUUUAGACUUGUAAA